Miniopterus natalensis is the source of this 3432-nucleotide non-coding RNA. The record is from RefSeq and is a predicted model, not a curated record. NCBI's taxonomy places the organism in Eukaryota, Metazoa, Chordata, Mammalia, Chiroptera, Miniopteridae.
UCAUCCGUUAGACCCCCUGGCAAAAAUAAUGAGGAUAAGGCUGAUAACAAUGGUAGGGAGCUACUACUGUGCACCCUGCACUGUACUAAGCCAUUUAUUAUUCCAGGUAGAUUUCUCUGAUCUCUGUCCUGAAUUUUCAAAGCAUUUGCAGUCUGUAUUGUAUGUUACCUAAUCAUACCACUUCUCACUACCUGAAAUCAUGUCAGUCAUUUAGUUGUCUAUUUGUUUAUAUUGUCUCUCUUCAGUAAAAAUAUAAGCUCCAUAAACACAGAGACUUUUUCACUUACACAGCUAUUGCCACAGUUUCUGACAAAUGGCACACAUUAAGGACUUAUUUGUUGGAUAAAUGAAUACAGCUUAGAAUCAUAUGGUUAAUUUCUAUUACUGUAUUUCAUGUAUAUUAGUCUUUUACCAGUAAUAGUAUGAACUUUUAAAAUUUGGUAUUAGAUGUUUUAAGUUUGUAUGGGAUAGUAUCCCCAAAUAAGCAAUGUUGUUCUUCAACAAAUAAUUGUGAAUUGGAGUACUGAGGACCUCAAAAGGUUGACUUUUUCUAUUUCCAGAAAGGUAGAUUUAAGGAUACAAAAUGUGGGAAAGGGUUAAAGUUAAACCCUUAAUUGUUUUUAUUUAUUUGCAUUCUAAUGCUCCAUUGAGCUGCUAAUUUGUUGAAUAUCUAUCCACAUGCUCAAGCACACAUAGUUUCAGAUUACUUUUGCAUACUGAUAAUGUAUUUUGUUGGUUAGUAACCUACAACCAAUCUACAAUCUACAAAGUGAAGAAAGAUCAAUCUGCACUUAAUUUCUAAGUUAAGGUAUAUUUAAAACAAACAUAAUUUUUUACUUCUUGCUUAAAAAUAUCCUAAGAUUGUUAAUGACUGUUUAUGGCUUUGUGAACUUAACUAUAUCUUUUGUGUAUAACGAGGAAGAUGUUUAGUGUAAACAUUUUUGGAUAUGGCGUAAGUUAUUUAACCAGUCUACUAGUUGACAUUCAGAUCGUUAAUAGUAAUGUUGAUAUCUAAUACUGAUACACCUCUCUGUAUUACUAGGUACAGUUCUUAGAGCUUUAUAUACAUUAACUCAUUUAAUUGUCACAGCAACCCUAGGGGAUAAGUAAUAUUAUCUUUAUUUUACAGAUAAGGAAGCUGAGGCACAGACAAUUUAAGUGACUUGCCCAAGGUCACAGCUUGUUUUCUUAUAAGACUGAGAAAAUCACAAGGUACAUGUCAGCAAGUAACCAAGAUCCAGAUCCAGGUAGUACUACAGAUGAAGAUGUUACAGAUACUAAAGAAGAACUUAUUAAAAAAUGUGAAGAAAUGUGGAAAAAUAUGGAAGAAUGUCAGAAUAAAUUAUCACUUAUUGGAACUGAGACACUCACUGAUUCGAAUGCGCAGCUGUCAUUGUUAAUUAUGCAAGUGAAAUGUUUAACUGCUGAGCUCAGUCAAUGGCAGAAAGAAACUCCUGAAAUACUUCCACUGAAUGAAGAGGUCCUGGUAACAUUAGGAAAAGAAGAAUUCCAGAAAUUGAGACAUGACCUUGAAUUGGUCCAAUCUACUAUUCAGUCAAAGAAUGAGAAGUUGAAGGAAGACUUGGAAAGGGAGCAACGAUGGUUGGAUGAGCAGCAGCAGAUCCUCGAGUCUCUUAUUGUUGUACACAGUGAACUGAAACAUCAGAUUGUGACAGUUUCUGAAUCAAGAAUCUUCAAUGAGCUGAAAACUAAACUACGUGGUAUAAAAGAAUAUAAGGAGAAACUAUUGGUUACCUUGAGUGAGUUUCUGGAAGAACACUUUCCUCUGCCUGAUAGAAAUGUUAAAAAGAAAAAGAGGUUUGAGGCAUUCUCAAAAGGAAGCAUUGAUUACAGAAGUCAUCAUCAUGUGUUCGUUCAGUCGUGUUUGAUAAGCUCCCUUUUCUUAAAUGAAGUAUGUGAACUAUUGAUUCAUGUCAAAAAAUGAUAGGUUACUUUCUCUGUCAAGCAAUGCUACUGGAUAUAAUACUAGAUGUAUUAGUCAGCUCAAGCUGCCGUAACAAAAUACUGCAGACUAGAGGGCUUAAACAAAAGAAAUUUGUUUUCUCACAGUUCUGAAGGCUAGAAGUCCAAGAACAGGGUACCCUCAGAGUUGGUUUCUGCUGAGGCCUUUCUUCCUGGCUGUGGACAGCAGCUGCCUUCUAGCUGCGUCCUCACUUGGCCUUUCUCUAUGUGAGUGUAGAGAAAAAGAGCUCUCUGGUGUCUGUCCCUCUUAUUGUAAGGACUCCAGUCCACUUGGAUUAGGGCCCCACUGUUAUGACCGCAUUCAACUUUAAUCACCUCUUUAAAGGCUCUAUCUUCAAAUGUAGUCACAUUGGUUAGGACUUCAGUUUUGGAGGGCACAAUUCAAUUCGUAACACCGUACUUUAUAAUUCAAAGAUGUAUACAAAGAAGAAAGAAGCAACCAGAAUCCCUCCAUCAGACCAUUAACAUUAGGUGAACAUCAUUUGAGACAUCUAAACCUAUACAUAUACAGAAACAUAAAUGGCGUGCUGGAUGGAUGAGUCAGCAUAAUUUUGUAUAUGCUAAUACAAUCCUAAACUUGAAUAGAAUUCUAGCAUCUACAAGUGUGGAAAUGAGUCUUCCCUUUUAUCUUUGGUGUUCGAAUCACACCUAUAUCAUUGUGGAGACUGGACUAAAAAAACAAAGACAAAUUAGACCACAUUUAAAAAACAACCAUAAUACUGAAGGGCUACAAGUCUAUGGCUUAUGAAAAAUGAUUGAAGGAACUAAUGAUGAUUAUUAUGGAGAAGACUUGAGGUUCAUAAUAGCUGCCUUCAGAUAUUUGAGGAACUCUUGCAUGGAAAUGGAAUAAGAUUUAUUCUGUUAUGUCAAGGUUAAAAGAACCAGUGAGUUGAGUUAACAUUAGGAACUAUAGAAAGAUGAACAAACAAGGCUCCCUGGGACGCAAGUUUCCUGUCCUGAAGCUGUAUAAGUACAGUCUGGAACGUCAUUUCUUUGGUUUAUUUUGAUUGGGAGGUUCAAACACUAAACUUUUAUAUAAGUAAAUAUAUAAUAUAUAUAAUAUCCAUUUUAUAUUUGUAGGUAGUCUGAAUUGUGUUUUCCAGUAAUUGCAAAAGAUUUCACUGUCUUAGAGGUUGUUUCAACUGUUUUGUUAUGAAACUGUUAGUGUAAGCAGGUUGUUUACUUUCAGAAUUCUUUUUAAAUCACCUAAUUAUAAGUGGUUUUAGUAUACCUUGUAUCAUUGCAUUUAAGAAAUAUUAACUUUUAAAAUUUUGUAAUAAAUACGGUUUAAUAUUCUGCCAUUGGCAGAAUCAAAAUGUUAAUUCUUUGUUAUUCAUGUUUCUCUCAAAGAAAAGUACUCAAGAAUCAACUACACAGCUGAUAACACUGCACGAAAUGUUAGAGAUUCUUUUAAAUAGAUUAUUUGGUGUUCCACAUGAUCCAUACGUC